RNAcentral lists this ribosomal RNA (253 nucleotides) under uncultured bacterium. RNAcentral's name for it is "partial 16S ribosomal RNA". It matches the Rfam family "Bacterial small subunit ribosomal RNA", at positions 524 to 776 of the family's 1533-position model. The record is from RNAcentral.
UACGUAGGGCGCAAGCGUUGUCCGGAAUUAUUGGGCGUAAAGAGCUCGUAGGCGGUCUGUUGCGUCCGCUGUGAAAACCCGGGGCUUAACCCUGGGCUGGCAGUGGAUACGGACAGACUAGAGGUAGGUAGGGGAGAAUGGAAUUCCCGGUGUAGCGGUGAAAUGCGCAGAUAUCGGGAGGAACACCGGUGGCGAAGGCGGUUCUCUGGGCCUUACCUGACGCUGAGGAGCGAAAGCUAGGGGAGCAAACAGG